AAAAAAGGUAAGCUACUAAGAGCGAAUGGUGGAUGCCUUGACUGGUAAAGGCGAUGAAGGACGUACUAGACUGCGAUAAGCUACGGGGAGCUGUCAAGAAGCUUUGAUCCGUAGAUUUCCGAAUGGGGCAACCCAAUGUAUAGAGAUAUACAUUACCUAUAUAGGAGCGAACGAGGGGAAUUGAAACAUCUUAGUACCCUCAGGAAAAGAAAUCAAUAGAGAUUGCGUCAGUAGCGGCGAGCGAAAGCGUAAGAGGGCAAACCCAGUGCUUGCACUGGGGGUUGUAGGACUGCAAUGUGCAAGAGCUGAGUUUAGCAGAACAUUCUGGAAAGUAUAGCCAUAGAGGGUGAUAGUCCCGUAUGCGAAAAAUGAAGCUUAGCUAGCAGUAUCCUGAGUAGGGCGAAACACGUGGAAUUUUGUCUGAAGCUGGGUCGACCACGAUCCAACCCUAAAUACUAAUACCAGAUCGAUAGUGCACAAGUACCGUGAGGGAAAGGUGAAAAGAACUGAGGUGAUCAGAGUGAAAUAGAACCUGAAACCAUUUGCUUACAAUCAUUCAGAGCACUAUGUAGCAAUACAGUGUGAUGGACUGCCUUUUGCAUAAUGAGCCUGCGAGUUGUGGUGUCUGGCAAGGUUAAGUACACGCGAAGCCGUAGCGAAAGCGAGUCUGAAUAGGGCGCUUAGUCAGAUGCUGCAGACCCGAAACGAAGUGAUCUAUCCAUGAGCAAGUUGAAGCUAGUGUAAGAACUAGUGGAGGACUGAACCCAUAGGCGUUGAAAAGCCCCGGGAUGACUUGUGGAUAGGGGUGAAAGGCCAAUCAAACUUCGUGAUAGCUGGUUCUCUCCGAAAUAUAUUUAGGUAUAGCGUUGUGUCGUAAUAUAAGGGGGUAGAGCACUGAAUGGGCUAGGGCAUACACCAAUGUACCAAACCCUAUCAAACUCCGAAUACCUUAUAUGUAAUCACAGCAGUCAGGCGGCGAGUGAUAAAAUCCGUCGUCAAGAGGGAAACAACCCAGACUACCAGCUAAGGUCCCUAAAUCUUACUUAAGUGGAAAACGAUGUGAAGUUACUUAAACAACCAGGAGGUUGGCUUAGAAGCAGCCAUCCUUUAAAGAAAGCGUAAUAGCUCACUGGUCUAGUGAUUUUGCGCGGAAAAUAUAACGGGGCUAAAGUAAGUACCGAAGCUGUAGACUUGACUUUGUCAAGUGGUAGGAGAGCGUUCUAUUUGCGUCGAAGGUAUACCGGUAAGGAGUGCUGGAGCGAAUAGAAGUGAGCAUGCAGGCAUGAGUAGCGAUAAUUAAUGUGAGAAUCAUUAACGCCGUAAACCCAAGGUUUCCUACGCGAUGCUCGUCAUCGUAGGGUUAGUCGGGUCCUAAGCCGAGUCCGAAAGGGGUAGGUGAUGGCAAAUUGGUUAAUAUUCCAAUACCAACAUUAGUGUGCGAUGGAAGGACGCUUAGGGCUAAGGGGGCUAGCGGAUGGAAGUGCUAGUCUAAGGUUGUAGGAGGUUAUAUAGGCAAAUCCGUAUAACAAUACUCUGAGAACUGAAAGGCUCUUUGAAGUCUUCGGAUGGAUAGGAGAACCCCUGAUGCCGUCGAGCCAAGAAAAGUUUCUAAGUUUAGCUAAUGUUGCCCGUACCGUAAACCGACACAGGUGGGUGGGAUGAGUAUUCUAAGGCGCGUGGAAGAACUCUCUUUAAGGAACUCUGCAAAAUAGCACCGUAUCUUCGGUAUAAGGUGUGGUUCGCUUCGUAUUAGGAUUUACUCCGAAAGCGAAGAAACUUACAACAAAGAGUCCCUCCCGACUGUUUACCAAAAACACAGCACUCUGCUAACUCGUAAGAGGAUGUAUAGGGUGUGACGCCUGCCCGGUGCUCGAAGGUUAAUUGAUGGGGUUAGCAUUAGCGAAGCUCUUGAUCGAAGCCCGAGUAAACGGCGGCCGUAACUAUAACGGUCCUAAGGUAGCGAAAUUCCUUGUCGGUUAAAUACCGACCUGCAUGAAUGGCGUAACGAGAUGGGAGCUGUCUCAAAGAGGGAUCCAGUGAAAUUGUAGUGGAGGUGAAAAUUCCUCCUACCCGCGGCAAGACGGAAAGACCCCGUGGACCUUUACUACAGCUUGACACUGCUACUUGGAUAAGAAUGUGCAGGAUAGGUGGGAGGCUUUGAGUAAUAGACGCCAGUUUAUUAUGAGCCAUUGUUGAGAUACCACUCUUUCUUAUUUGGGUAGCUAACCAGCUUGAGUUAUCCUCAAGUGGGACAAUGUCUGGUGGGUAGUUUGACUGGGGCGGUCGCCUCCCAAAUAAUAACGGAGGCUUACAAAGGUUGGCUCAGAACGGUUGGAAAUCGUUCGUAGAGUAUAAAGGUAUAAGCCAGCUUAACUGCAAGACAUACAAGUCAAGCAGAGACGAAAGUCGGUCUUAGUGAUCCGGUGGUUCUGUGUGGAAGGGCCAUCGCUCAAAGGAUAAAAGGUACCCCGGGGAUAACAGGCUGAUCUCCCCCAAGAGCUCACAUCGACGGGGAGGUUUGGCACCUCGAUGUCGGCUCAUCGCAUCCUGGGGCUGGAGCAGGUCCCAAGGGUAUGGCUGUUCGCCAUUUAAAGCGGUACGCGAGCUGGGUUCAGAACGUCGUGAGACAGUUCGGUCCCUAUCUGCCGUGGGCGUAAGAAGAUUGAAGAGAUUUGACCCUAGUACGAGAGGACCGGGUUGAACAAACCACUGGUGUAGCUGUUGUUCUGCCAAGAGCAUCGCAGCGUAGCUAAGUUUGGAAAGGAUAAACGCUGAAAGCAUCUAAGCGUGAAGCCAACUCUAAGAUGAAUCUUCUCUAAGCUCUCUAGAAGACUACUAGUUUGAUAGGCUGGGUGUGUAAUGGAUGAAAGUCCUUUAGCUGACCAGUACUAAUAGAGCGUUUGGCUUAUCUUUAUAAAGCAU
Molecule: ribosomal RNA, 2922 nt
Filed under: Campylobacter jejuni
Lineage: Bacteria; Pseudomonadati; Campylobacterota; Epsilonproteobacteria; Campylobacterales; Campylobacteraceae
Description: 23S ribosomal RNA
Rfam family: Bacterial large subunit ribosomal RNA
Source: RNAcentral